This 495-nucleotide ribosomal RNA is filed under the name uncultured bacterium. RNAcentral's name for it is "partial 16S ribosomal RNA". It matches the Rfam family "Bacterial small subunit ribosomal RNA", at positions 28 to 507 of the family's 1533-position model. The record is from RNAcentral.
GACGAACGCUGGCGGCGUGCCUAAUACAUGCAAGUCGAACGCUGAAGGCGGUGCUUGCUUCUCUGGAUGAGUUGCGAACGGGUGAGUAACGCUUAGGUAACCUGCCUCGUAGCGGGGGAUAACUAUUUGAAACGAUAGCUCAUACCGCAUAAGAUUUGUUGUUGCAUGACCUUUGCUUAUAAGGUGCAAUUGCUUCUCUACCAGUUGGCUCUGCGUUGUAUUAUCUAGUUGGUGGGGUAACGGCUAAACACCGCGACGAUACAUAGCCGACCUGCGAGGGUGAUAGGCCAAACUGGGAAUGAGAAACGGCCAAGAACACUACGGGAGGGAGAAGGAGGGAAUUUUCGGGAAAGGACGGAAGGCUGAACGAGCAACGCCGGGUGAGUGAAGGAGGUUUUCGGAUCGGAAAGACCUGGUGUAAGAGAAGGACGAGUGGGAGAGUGAAAAGUGCACAUAGUGACGGUACCUGAACAGAAAGGGACGGCUAACUACGUG